UGUCUCGCUCCGCCCCCUGAACCAAAGUAGGGAAAGCUGCUCCAACCGAGGGCCUCUACACAGGUGGUGCCGCAAAGACCUCCUCCUGGGGUGCGGCCACAGGCGCCGCACGUGAAGAACUGGGCGCGGGGGACGGCGCUCUCGGUGCGACGUCCACAACGGGUGUUGGCGGUGUAGGGGCCUGAGUCUCCCUAGAAGCUGCCGCCUGCUGCAAUAGUAGGUCCUCCAGACGCUUCAUCCGCGCCUCCUGUCGGCGAGCCGCCUCGGUCUGCUGUCGGGCCACCUCCGCCUGCUGAGUGACUAAAUCAGUGAGGGCCGCAAGCUGGCCCCUCAACUCACGGACCUCGCUGGAUCCGGAGGUAGCGGAGGUCUCGACCUCCUCGAAGUUUGCCGCAUUGUCCGCCCCGGCAGAAUGGGGCUAGUAAUCGGCAUUGUCACUACAAAACAUAAAAGCGCAAGUUAGUAAAACCCGCGCUAUCGCAUCCCCGCUCAAUAAGCAAUACCCAAAUCAUGCGAAAGUAAGAAAGUGUUAUCCACAACUAACUCCCGAUAUUACGUUGUCGGCCGCCAACGUAACCGUCCGCGAAGUUAGAAGCUAUACACUUCAAUUGAACUCCACUUUUUAGAGUUAUCAAGAUACCCAAUCAAGAUACUUUCUCUCACAAAUCAAAUAGACCUCAUCUCUCACGAGCCUAUUUUCUAUAGUCCAACCGGCCUAAGGUUUGCUAGGUCCCCUAAGACUCAACCCUAGGCUCUGAUACCAAAUUAAUCUGUCACGCCCCGGGACGCAGCGGAAGCCCGCCCGGCGCGUGCCCAGACCAGCCAUACGUCUAAAACAUAUAAGGCGUCUAAAAACAACAAUAAAUAAAGCGGUAAUAAAAAACAACUAGGAGUGUCAGAGCAUGAUAUAAUACUAAGUUCUACAACAGAGAAAGGAGCAUAAAGCUGGAAUCCACUAAUAAAAGCAUAAAGUAAUACAAAGAAAAUCCCAAAUACAAGUGCUAAAAGUAGAUACAUAGGUGGUCUCUAUACAUGGAUACAAAAUCUCUCACU
RNAcentral lists this long non-coding RNA (1053 nucleotides) under Ananas comosus (pineapple). RNAcentral describes it as "long non-coding RNA (ACOM_LNC023307)". The record is from RNAcentral. Lineage: Eukaryota; Viridiplantae; Streptophyta; Magnoliopsida; Poales; Bromeliaceae.